CCUACGGGCGGCAGCAGUGGGGAAUAUUGCACAAUGGGGGAAACCCUGAUGCAGCGACGCCGCGUGAGCGAUGAAGUAUUUCGGUAUGUAAAGCUCUAUCAGCAGGGAAGAAAAUGACGGUACCUGACUAAGAAGCCCCGGCUAACUACGUGCCAGCAGCCGCGGUCAUACGUAGGGGGCAAGCGUUAUCCGGAUUUACUGGGUGUAAGGGGAGCGUAGACGGUCCUGCAAGCCAGAUGUGAAAGCCCGUGGCUCAACCCCGGGACUGCAUUUGGAACUGUAAGGCUAGAGUGUCGGAGAGGCAGGCGGAAUUCCUAGUGUAGCGGUGAAAUGCGUAGAUAUUAGGAGGAACACCAGUGGCGAAGGCGGCCUGCUGGACGAUGACUGACGUUGAGGCUCGAAAGCGUGGGGAGCAAACAGGAUUAGAUACCCGAGUAGUC
Molecule: ribosomal RNA, 440 nt
Filed under: uncultured bacterium
Lineage: Bacteria
Description: partial 16S ribosomal RNA
Rfam family: Bacterial small subunit ribosomal RNA
Source: RNAcentral